AUAUUACCACUAGAUCCCGCGUAAAGGCGUCAAAAGUAACCAAACAAAACAGUGCUUAGAUUCAUAUUAAGCACUGUUUUGCCGUCAGUGUCACGCCGACCGUCGAAUGGAACGAUCCUAAAAUGCGCUGUAAAAAGAUGUAAAAAACACGCUUAUAAAGAGAAAACAACAUGAAAUUUAGUAUUUUUGAUUUAAUAACAGAGUAAUAAAAGAAAAAAGAAGCAACAAUUAUUUCAAACCUAAUUGCUCCAGUGUGGUUUGUGCAGACCAUUUUACCGAAUCUGACAUGUAUUUAAUAAAUAAAACAAUUUGAUGGGGA
This is a long non-coding RNA of Bombyx mandarina (wild silkworm), 319 nucleotides long. NCBI's taxonomy places the organism in Eukaryota, Metazoa, Arthropoda, Insecta, Lepidoptera, Bombycidae. The record is from RefSeq and is a predicted model, not a curated record.